UGGGGGGGGGUUGUGUAUUUGUUUUCUGUUAGUGGUGUUAUUGUCUUAUUUUGUUACUGCUAUGUCAGUUCUUGCCUGCAGUUGAGGUUCCAGAGACAAGCUGUUCUCUACAGCAAGAUAACAAGUGGAGAGCCUUGGCACCUGAGAGGUCAGGAGUGAGAGUUGUGUCAAGUUGAGUGCAGGCCUGCUGGUGCAUGUUUCAAGGUGAAAAUACCAUCCUUUGUGCUUGGAGCAAGCUGGGAAUGCUCAGUUCAGGACAAUCUGCUCUUGUAGAAAGCCAACUUAGUGUGGCGGUCCUCUCAGUAAAUGGAGUAAUGGAGAGUUAGUUCAGAAGACAGCUUAAAAUUCUCUUUUGCUUUGCCAAAGACGUUAUCCAAAUUUUUACCUUUGGUUAUACG
RNAcentral lists this long non-coding RNA (398 nucleotides) under Numida meleagris (helmeted guineafowl). Its description in RNAcentral is "lncRNA (ENSNMEG00000010543.1)". Lineage: Eukaryota; Metazoa; Chordata; Aves; Galliformes; Numididae. The record is from RNAcentral.